Molecule: long non-coding RNA, 1434 nt
Organism: Andrographis paniculata
Lineage: Eukaryota; Viridiplantae; Streptophyta; Magnoliopsida; Lamiales; Acanthaceae
Exons: 5
Source: RefSeq, a predicted model, not a curated record
GACUAGGUUGAUAGGUUGCUGGUGAAAAUGAGUUGCUGCUUCUGUUUUAAUUGUCUGGUUUGGUUCCUUUUUACUGAAUGAGCAAUGUUAAUUCAGCUGCAAUCUGCAAAUUCGUGUCGAACGGGAAGCUUGGGUCUAGCUCUAGCCGAUCUAAUGGGAACUCCAUGCCUCCUAUAGGAGAAUUGCUUGUUGAUGCAUUGGCUGAGAUUAUUUCUGCAACAUCAGAUUCCGAGUGUUGAUAGUUUUGAGUCCCUCCAAGGCUUUUAAGUUGGUGGGUUGCUGUAGAAAGGUAAUUAGACUCGGGCGUUGCAGGAGAUAAAAAUAAUGGAGAGUAUGCUCCCAGGUGAUUGUCGUAGGGAAGACUGGUAAGAGGAAAAUAUUGGUUUGCUGUGUUGUCCCGGCAUGCAUUUGUUGAUGAGAAAGAGAAGGAAGACGGUGCUCCCUUGUCAUCCAAGUUGUCGGUGCUAACCUUGAGGUUAGCUUUCAAGUUCAUUAGAGUCUGGUUUUGUAGUUUGCUUUCUUUCUUUUCAGGGGAUGCUGGCGGAGGCGGCACUGCGACUGCAGUAGUUGACUGGUUGCAUGUGUGUGUCCCUUUAUACGUGAGGUCAAACACGGUUGGGUCCUCAUCGGAUCUCUGCACCUGCUUAGUUGCCCAGCAGUUUUGAACCAUGCGGAAAUAAUGGCAUGCAGAGCAGAGCAGAACAGAACAACAGAACAGAACAGAACAAACCUUGGAUACUUGGCACCCAAGAUGUCCUUCUGUCCAUAUUUCCUCCAGCUGUAUCCGUCAUCGAUUGGCCCUUCGAGCCCAUUGUCCGAAUUAACCCUCACUUGUUCUGUCCACGUGGGCUGAAGCUUCCUAGAGUAGCGGGAUCAAGAAACAUUGUUGGUCAGGUCGGGUCGGGUCAGUCAUCACUUUUGGGACUCCCGUCGACGGAAACGGAACCCUCCAGGACAGCAGAUGCUGCCUCCCUCUCUGAUCCCUUCCAUUUGAGGAUCAUGAGAGCCUUCUCGUAAGAAGACAAUAUUCUCUGCAGAAGAAGGUGAUGGGCUUCGGAGGGAGACGUGGACGACAAGUGGAGCCGGAGCUGAUUUGCCCUCUCCAUUCCCUGCGUCAGCUCAUUCACCAGUGACAUGUAUUCCCAGGUUGGUGCAGAUGAGGCGGCUUCGAGGCUACCAGCGAUCUCCAACCUGCCAGCCACUGCGUCUCUUUUUCUGCCCCACCCGCUGAAUCAAACGUUGGAUAGAGGGAGGAAAUAGAAGCAUUUUAGCCUGCAGCAGCUGCUCAAGUCAAGUGAAUUGGGCUUGUACAUGCAUGCAUAUUUAUUUACUUGUCAUCCUAUCAUAUCCUAAAUUUUGCAUAAAAUGUUCCUAGCUUGCUGCUACAUCAUUUCUUCUUCUGUCUUUAGAUAUAUAAAAGCUGUAAGCAGAGAA